Molecule: long non-coding RNA, 1621 nt
Filed under: Sus scrofa (pig)
Lineage: Eukaryota; Metazoa; Chordata; Mammalia; Artiodactyla; Suidae
Description: lncRNA (ENSSSCG00065018099.1)
Source: RNAcentral
AUUUAAUAGCCUCUAAGCUAAAAUGAGGCGCAUUCAGGAGUGCCGUCCCUCGUGGCUAGUCAUGGCCUGGGAAACAUUACGGCUCCAUCCCGGUUUGCUUAAGGAGCAAGAGUUGGCGUUCAAGAUACCAGGAGUUUGAAAUGGAAAAAACUGGCCGCGCUGCUCAAGCUGGGAUGAUGUAAUCUGCCUUCUAGGGCGAGGAACAGAGGGCCGAGGAUCACCUGGGCGUUGGGAGCACCUCCCGCCAAGUGGAAGCCUCGGUGCUGUGCUCUACAUGGAGAACCAGCUCCAGAACUUUAGCCACCUUUCGGAGUAAGGACGGCCCAAGAGCACUAUACGGAAGCGGGACCCUUCCCUUCGGCCGGAAUUGAACCACCAGCGUCCCAAACUGAAGGAUAGUGAAGCCAACCCCAACCCCAAGCUGCCUCUUCCUUGACUAUCAUUUCUUAUGGCUAACACCCUUUCUUCCCUCUCCUCAGCCUCAGAGUCUGUCUGUGUCGCAACCAAGAUUCCUGACUGACACAUUUGUUUCUGGUAGAACUCCUACGGUGACCCCAACUUUGCCUGACAUUCCCACCACGUCCAUUUUUCCUGUCCCAUCUCACGCUGGCGUUGCCACUUGGAGCUGCCAUACCUCUGCUCAAACCUGGCCCCUGUCUGCCAGUCUCUCUCCCAAGGCCACUGUAAUUUUGAGCCCUCUUCCCCGUGUCCCCACUGCCUCCCUCUAGCCCCGGUCCUAAGGCUCAGGCACCCUGGGCUCCCACCCAUCCAGAGGCCUGAGCAGCUGGGCAGUCAUCCUAACCCUGUUACGAUGUCAGCACUAGACUUAGUGCCGACAAGGGAGAGACUCCUCAGGUGCUAGAAGGGAGGGUCACUGGGAGGAAAGAGGGGCACAGGCAGAGAUGGGACAGUAGCAGAGACAUUGCCAAUUUUUAUAUUUUAUCUAAUAACACGGUUGUCAUUUACUGAGUUCCUGCAUUGUUCUGGCCCUAUAUAUGCAUGACCUUACACUAAUACUUUGAAGUUGAGACUAUCGUAAUCCCCACUUUCAGAGGAGGAAACAAGAGCUUUGGGAUUUGUUUUUUUCCCCCCCUUUUCUUUUUUUCUGAAACAAGUGUUUAAAGAAGUAAAGAGGUAGCGAUCUCUUAUGACUCCGUGGAUUGGUUGGUGUUGUCACUUGUCACUGCAGUGGCUCAGGUCACAGCUAUGGUGCAGGUUCAGUCUCUGGCCUGGGAACUUCCACAAGCCACAGUUGUGCCGCCUUUCCGCCACCCCCCCCCCCAAAAAAAGGAAGAAGCAGUAAAGGCGGAUAGAAUGAGAUGAUGCCUGGGAUCUCUUUUCAAAUAAUUGGAGGAAUGGGAGAUGAGUAGGAUGUCGAUGAGACAAGAUUGCCUGUGGGCUGUUUAAGCUGGAUAACAAAUAUAUGGAAAUUCAUGAUACUGUUACAUCUAAUUGGUUUGUAUUUGGAUUUUUCCAUAAUUCAAAGUAUGUUUUUUCUUUUAAGUUAAGAAACUCAAUCAAACUCAUACCAAUAGUAUGUGAUAAAGUUAGGUUUUGACUGCAGGCCCUGCUUACUUCAGCACCUUCAGUUACUUACUCACUUAACCUCUACACUGCAUUG